This 303-nucleotide ribosomal RNA is filed under the name uncultured bacterium. Its description in RNAcentral is "partial 16S ribosomal RNA". It matches the Rfam family "Bacterial small subunit ribosomal RNA", at positions 507 to 809 of the family's 1533-position model. The record is from RNAcentral.
AGCAGUAGCCACGGUAAUACGAAGGGUGCAAGCGUUACUCGGAAUUACUGGGCGUAAAGCGUGCGUAGGUGGUGGUUUAAGUCCGUUGUGAAAGCCCUGGGCUCAACCUGGGAAUUGCAGUGGAUACUGGGUCACUAGAGUGUGGUAGAGGAUAGUGGAAUUUCCGGUGUAGCGGUGAAAUGCGUAGAUAUAGGAAGGAACACCAGUGGCGAAGGCGACCACCUGGACUGAUACUGACACUGAGGUGCGAAAGCGUGGGGAGCAAACAGGAUUAGAUACCCGAGUAGUCCCUGUCUCUUAUAA